This 497-nucleotide ribosomal RNA is filed under the name uncultured bacterium. Its description in RNAcentral is "partial 16S ribosomal RNA". It matches the Rfam family "Bacterial small subunit ribosomal RNA", at positions 28 to 507 of the family's 1533-position model. The record is from RNAcentral.
GAUGAACGCUGGCGGCGUGCCUAAUACAUGCAAGUCGAGCGAACGGACGAGAAGCUUGCUUCUCUGAUGUUAGCGGCGGACGGGUGAGUAACACGUGGAUAACCUACCUAUAAGACUGGGAUAACUUCGGGAAACCGGAGCUAAUACCGGGUAAUAUUUUGAACCGCAUGGUUCAAAAGUGAAAGACGGUCUUGCUGUCACUUAUAGAUGGAUCCGCGCUGCAUUAGCUAGUUGGUAAGGUAACGGCUUACCAAGGCAACGAUGCAUAGCCGACCUGAGAGGGUGAUCGGCCACACUGGAACUGAGGCACGGUCCAGACUCCUACGGGAGGCAGCAGUAGGGAAUCUUCCGCAAUGGGCGAAAGCCUGACGGAGCAACGCCGCGUGAGUGAUGAAGGUCUUCGGAUCGUAAAACUCUGUUAUUAGGGAAGAACAUAUGUGUAAGUAACUGUGCACAUCUUGACGGUACCUAAUCAGAAAGCCACGGCUAACUACGUG